CCUUUACACCCUCGCAUCGAUAUGACAGAUAUAAUUAUCACGAUGAUGACGAACGUGACAAUCCCAGCAGCCAGGUACACAUAGAUCAGUAAGCCUUCUGAUGAGUCAUCAUUAGAAUUUGAGCUGUUAGCUAGAAGAAGACAAGAUUUGACUCAGUAUGAAUAUAAAACACAAGAACAGAACAAAUGUACAGAGUUAAGAUAAAAGGUGAG
This is a long non-coding RNA of Stegastes partitus (bicolor damselfish), 212 nucleotides long. RefSeq lists it as uncharacterized. Lineage: Eukaryota; Metazoa; Chordata; Actinopteri; Pomacentridae. The transcript has 2 exons. The record is from RefSeq and is a predicted model, not a curated record.